CAAGAUCAAAGUCCAUACCUGAAACAAACGUCCAAGCUCGUUAGUCUCGACGAGCUAAAGGCAACAAUAAUAAAUGAACGUAUGUGCAUGCUAAAAAAAAGGGGGGGGGGGAGAACGAAAAACAACAUUAACGACCUACCAAUUGGACGACUCAUCCCCACUUUCAACAUGUUCUUCAUGGUAAGGACUGACCCUAAGUCAGGUGCAAGGGGCGGAACAUCAACCAAGUCCUGGAUUUGAGCUUCUAGAAAGGGAGUAGCUUCUACUUGGCUAUUGAAGAGACGAAUUUGGGGGUGUCGCCAGUUUGUGUUAAAAGAAAACUGAACCUUUGAAGGUCGGACGAAGAAAAAUCGGGACUUCCAUCCGCUAUUCGAAUUCCUAAACUUAGGGAAUUGUAUAGGUACCCUAGUGGUAAAAUAGACAAAGGCAUUACAUUGAACUAACUCAUGCAUUUCGAAGAUACACCUGAAAAGAUCCAUGGAAGGUGAAAUUCCCUUUUUGAGACAGACGUACAGAAAAUAGAAUGCUUUUCUCCAUGCAUUAGGAUUGAUUUGACUAGGAGUAAGGUGGAACUCGUUGAAAAUCGAUACAAAAAAGGGAUGAAUGGAGAACCGAAAACCCCCGUCCAUGACAUCCUUGUACAUGGCUAUCUCACGGGGGUUGGACCCGGGGAGCCUUUCUUUAGGACCAGGGGCUCUAUAGACGUAAUCAUCAACCCGGUCAUACUUUCCUAGACAUUUUUCUAACUUGAGUGGAGAAUUGUAGAGACUAUAACUUUUUGGGAUAUCUAAGGGGACAACCUCACCGGCCAGGUCACGCCCGAUUUCCAAGUUUUGGCCUGGAAAUUUGGAAGAACCAAUGUGUCUCUUUGGGAGAUUUGGAACAAAUGGCUGAGAGUCAGUUGAAUGAGUUUCACUAUCACUAUCAUAAAGGGAUUUACUGGAUGAAGGGGGCGAGUCACUACAAGGGCGGAUCGAAGGACCGGACAAACCACGAGAAUUAAUGGACGGAGGUAGACGGCCAGCCCGAAGGCUGGCCGUAGGUCGACCAGCCAAGGGGCUGGUCGAUUUGUCGACCAGCCCCGCUGGCCGACGACCGACCCCCCCAUGGGUCGGUCGGACUUCCGCCGGCAUCCUCCGACGAAGGCCCGGUCGAAUCACUACACCCCCCAUCACUUUUUUCAUUGGAAGGAGAAGAAAGGAUAGUUUUAUACAUGACAACAAAAAUGAUGAAGAGAAGGAAUUGAAAACAAGACCUUGGAUGUAAAUAAAGAGAGGAAAUUACCUUAGAAGAGAGGAAAUCUAGGAAGUUGAGAGAAAGUGAAAGUGAUCUCCUAGAAUGAGAAUCACCCCCCUUUAUAAUACUAGAAUUCAAAUUUUUUGGGGGGGAAUUGGAGGAAAAUCUCCCCCCAAUAUUAAAGCCAUUAGUGAGGAUCCAUGUGUACAGUACAAU
RNAcentral lists this long non-coding RNA (1452 nucleotides) under Olea europaea subsp. europaea. The record is from RNAcentral. Lineage: Eukaryota; Viridiplantae; Streptophyta; Magnoliopsida; Lamiales; Oleaceae.